This is a long non-coding RNA of Oreochromis niloticus (Nile tilapia), 1145 nucleotides long. RefSeq lists it as uncharacterized. The record is from RefSeq and is a predicted model, not a curated record. Lineage: Eukaryota; Metazoa; Chordata; Actinopteri; Cichliformes; Cichlidae. The transcript has 3 exons.
GGGGGGGGGGGGGAGGAAGAGGAGGCUUCUCUGAGACAAGAGAGCGUCGAAAAGCUCAACAGGUGAUGCACUGCUCACAGCACUCGGAGGCACUCUGGAUAAAGGUGUCGACAGGAGGACAUAUGCUUUGGUGAAAACACGAAAAAAGCGACUCGGGCGACCACUUCCAGUCCAAUAGAGCACCUUUGAGAUAUGGCGGAUUGGGAGAUCCUCAUCAUGGAUGCGCAGCCAACAAAUCUGCAGCAACUGUGUGAUGCUGUCAUGUCAACAAGGACCAAAAUCUCUGAGGAGUGUUUCCAGCACCUUGUUGAAUCUGUACCAUGAAGAAUUAAUGUAGUUCUGAAGGCAGCAGAAGCAAGCUGUACCUCAUAAAGUGUCCAGUGAGUGUAGCUACAUCAAAACAAAUCUUUUUAAAAUUUUUAAUCAGACAAAUAAGAAGCUUAAUGUGACAACUGGCCUGCGUGCCUUGUAAGUUUAUUCAUUACAUGAAAAUAAAGGUAUGAUAUCUUCGUUAUAAACUUCUAAAGUGACUGCUUUAGAAGUUUAAAAAUAUAUAUAUUGUUAAACAGUACAACUCUAGCGUGGAAUAAAGUGGAUCAAUCCAGCACCAAAAACCAAAACAACAAUUUUCCUGCAGAUAGCGCUGACAAAAAGACCGUAUCAUAUGGACACAAUCACAUCAAAUGGACUGAAGAUGAUGCAGUGUUCAGUGAUAUGGAGCCCCGAGGCUCACAGUAAAUCUGACCUCUCACUGCUGGAAAUUACAACAAUAGAUUCACAGCUUGCUGGUUUCACAUCUCAUCUUUAGUGUGAGUCUGUGUGUGUCCUGAACGUCAGCAUCAAGCAUCGACACGAGAAGUUCCUGCAGAAGAAAGUCUCGGAACUUUGCCCAAAUACUUGUUUGUUUGUUACGCUUUGUAUAAAUUAACCUACAUGUCAGUGAUCACCACGACCUAAAAUCGCCUCUGUAAAAUAAAUAAUCACAUUUAAAUACUAAUUUUACAAACGCUUGCUGAUUUCGUCUCAUAAGGUAAAAUAAAUCAAUAAAUCCAUAAAAAUAUAUUAUUGAAAUUACUAUUAGUAUAUAAUAAUGAUCAAAAAAUACUCAUUAUUAUGACUAUAUACUGUUAUAACAAAUGUUCUGU